Molecule: ribosomal RNA, 1432 nt
Filed under: uncultured bacterium
Lineage: Bacteria
Description: bacterial SSU rRNA
Rfam family: Bacterial small subunit ribosomal RNA
Source: RNAcentral
UUAACACAUGCAAGUCGAGGGGCAGCAUGGUCUUAGCUUGCUAAGGCCGAUGGCGACCGGCGCACGGGUGAGUAACACGUAUCCAACCUGCCGUCUACUCUUGGACAGCCUUCUGAAAGGAAGAUUAAUACAAGAUGGCAUCAUGAGUCCGCAUGUUCACAUGAUUAAAGGUAUUCCGGUAGACGAUGGGGAUGCGUUCCAUUAGAUAGUAGGCGGGGUAACGGCCCACCUAGUCUUCGAUGGAUAGGGGUUCUGAGAGGAAGGUCCCCCACAUUGGAACUGAGACACGGUCCAAACUCCUACGGGAGGCAGCAGUGAGGAAUAUUGGUCAAUGGGCGAGAGCCUGAACCAGCCAAGUAGCGUGAAGGAUGACUGCCCUAUGGGUUGUAAACUUCUUUUAUAAAGGAAUAAAGUCGGGUAUGGAUACCCGUUUGCAUGUACUUUAUGAAUAAGGAUCGGCUAACUCCGUGCCAGCAGCCGCGGUAAUACGGAGGAUCCGAGCGUUAUCCGGAUUUAUUGGGUUUAAAGGGAGCGUAGAUGGAUGUUUAAGUCAGUUGUGAAAGUUUGCGGCUCAACCGUAAAAUUGCAGUUGAUACUGGAUAUCUUGAGUGCAGUUGAGGCAGGCGGAAUUCGUGGUGUAGCGGUGAAAUGCUUAGAUAUCACGAAGAACUCCGAUUGCGAAGGCAGCCUGCUAAGCUGCAACUGACAUUGAGGCUCGAAAGUGUGGGUAUCAAACAGGAUUAGAUACCCUGGUAGUCCACACGGUAAACGAUGAAUACUCGCUGUUUGCGAUAUACUGCAAGCGGCCAAGCGAAAGCGUUAAGUAUUCCACCUGGGGAGUACGCCGGCAACGGUGAAACUCAAAGGAAUUGACGGGGGCCCGCACAAGCGGAGGAACAUGUGGUUUAAUUCGAUGAUACGCGAGGAACCUUACCCGGGCUUAAAUUGCAGAUGAAUUACGGUGAAAGCCGUAAGCCGCAAGGCAUCUGUGAAGGUGCUGCAUGGUUGUCGUCAGCUCGUGCCGUGAGGUGUCGGCUUAAGUGCCAUAACGAGCGCAACCCUUGUUGUCAGUUACUAACAGGUUCCGCUGAGGACUCUGACAAGACUGCCAUCGUAAGAUGUGAGGAAGGUGGGGAUGACGUCAAAUCAGCACGGCCCUUACGUCCGGGGCUACACACGUGUUACAAUGGGGGGUACAGAGGGCCGCUACCACGCGAGUGGAUGCCAAUCCCCAAAACCUCUCUCAGUUCGGACUGGAGUCUGCAACCCGACUCCACGAAGCUGGAUUCGCUAGUAAUCGCGCAUCAGCCACGGCGCGGUGAAUACGUUCCCGGGCCUUGUACACACCGCCCGUCAAGCCAUGGGAGCCGGGGGUACCUGAAGUGCGUAACCGCGAGGAGCGCCCUAGGGUAAAACUGGUGACUGGGGCUAA